UGCAAGUCGACGGUAGCACAGAGAGCUUGCUCUCGGGUGACGAGUGGCGGACGGGUGAGUAAUGUCUGGGAAACUGCCUGAUGGAGGGGGAUAACUACUGGAAACGGUAGCUAAUACCGCAUAACGUCGCAAGACCAAAGAGGGGGACCUUCGGGCCUCUUGCCAUCAGAUGUGCCCAGAUGGGAUUAGCUAGUAGGUGGGGUAACGGCUCACCUAGGCGACGAUCCCUAGCUGGUCUGAGAGGAUGACCAGCCACACUGGAACUGAGACACGGUCCAGACUCCUACGGGAGGCAGCAGUGGGGAAUAUUGCACAAUGGGCGCAAGCCUGAUGCAGCCAUGCCGCGUGUAUGAAGAAGGCCUUCGGGUUGUAAAGUACUUUCAGCGGGGAGGAAGGUGUUGUGGUUAAUAACCACAGCAAUUGACGUUACCCGCAGAAGAAGCACCGGCUAACUCCGUGCCAGCAGCCGCGGUAAUACG
Molecule: ribosomal RNA, 479 nt
Filed under: Enterobacter sp. BHUPSB18
Lineage: Bacteria; Pseudomonadati; Pseudomonadota; Gammaproteobacteria; Enterobacterales; Enterobacteriaceae
Description: bacterial SSU rRNA
Rfam family: Bacterial small subunit ribosomal RNA
Source: RNAcentral